Molecule: long non-coding RNA, 807 nt
Organism: Daphnia magna
Lineage: Eukaryota; Metazoa; Arthropoda; Branchiopoda; Diplostraca; Daphniidae
Exons: 2
Source: RefSeq, a predicted model, not a curated record
AAGUAAUUUGUCUACAGUCGAAACAAUAACAAAAAAAUUAAGAGGAAACUCCACACCAAAACAAGACGAAUGCCUGACAUCUUCCUUGUGAUCGGCAGGAGUUCGGGCAUGUGGUCUUAAAUGCAAAGCUAACCUAUCUGGGAAUCAUUAACCGUAUUCCACGGGUUAAUGCAACCAACAACACAAACUAAAGAUCGUCUGUUCCUUCAACCGGGGAUUUGAAUGACCCGGGACAUGUUAUAGUCAUACAGUAUUCAUGUAUGUUGUUGACUUGAGUUUUUGGACCAUGUAGGCUAUUCAUAUUCAAUAUACAGUACGUAGCUGCAGUCUUUUAUGUAACACCGUUCACCGUACAUGCAGGAUCAUUUCAAAAAUCAUCCUUGACAAACUUUGAACCAUUUUCUGAAUCUUUCCUUGCAGUUACUUUAAUUGGCCGACGUUGAUACCAUUUUGUUUAUUCAUUUUGGAAUUCCGCAAGCCUAGCCGAGAGACCCAACCACAGUCCCUAAGAAAAGGCAGAUCAUGUUUGCUUUAGAACAAGUUAAGUGGCUACAUAUCACCAACACAAUUCUGCGCAACGUUCAUCCUUCAAGCUUUUGUUGUCAUUGUCACCGGAAAUAGUUUUAAUUUAGUUUGAAAAACGCAAGUAAAGGCAGGCGAAACCAUUUUUGUGCAUGUAUUACGAAAGGUUUUUUCUUUGGCCGUCUGUGCGAUUAUAUGAUGUUACCGUAAAAUUUAUUACCUCUCUGUAAAAGCUUGAAAAAUAAAUGUGAUCAGAGUGUAUGAAUCUACACAUUGGACCUGUAA